RNAcentral lists this transfer-messenger RNA (357 nucleotides) under Deltaproteobacteria bacterium. It matches the Rfam family "transfer-messenger RNA". From Rfam's summary of the family: Bacterial tmRNA, also known as 10Sa RNA or SsrA, is named for its dual tRNA and mRNA-like properties. Its role is to liberate the mRNA from a stalled ribosome. Lineage: Bacteria; Pseudomonadati; Myxococcota; Myxococcia. The record is from RNAcentral. RNAcentral also lists the same sequence under 1 other name.
GGGGGCGUCACGGUUUCGACGGGGGAGUUGAGGCCGACGCUGCAUGCCGGGAAGGUCACGUUUCUCGUAAAACACGUGGCAAACUGACAAGUGCCAACGAAGGUGCUUACGCUCUUGCAGCCUAACUAGCUGCACGUCUGAGGGGUACGAUGCUCGCUGAUCCCUGAGGGCGCCAAAACCUUAGCGAGCUGGCCGUCAACGGCCCGCCAGGGCCAACGGGCGGCGAGACCCAAUCCUGGCAACGGGGGCAGGACCUGUCGGCGGGUCACCUGUCCCGGCACAAUCCACCGACUACGCAUGUAGACGCGCCGCGCGGAUCUUUCUCGGACCCGGGUUCGACUCCCGGCGCCUCCACCA